Molecule: unclassified non-coding RNA, 206 nt
Filed under: Phylloporus sp.
Lineage: Eukaryota; Fungi; Basidiomycota; Agaricomycetes; Boletales; Boletaceae
Description: partial contains small subunit ribosomal RNA, internal transcribed spacer 1, and 5.8S ribosomal RNA
Rfam family: Eukaryotic small subunit ribosomal RNA (bases 1-46)
Source: RNAcentral
AAGUCGUAACAAGGUUUCCGUAGGUGAACCUGCGGAAGGAUCAUUACAAAAUCCGAGCUUAUACUCUAUUAUAAGCGCAACACCUGUGUCACAACACGAGUGGACUUUGUUCGCUUGGCUGCACGUAGCGCGAGUUACGUGUGAAAACACAUACAUACAAGAAAAUAUUUUAUACACGAGUUUUGACAAUGGAUCUCUUGGCUCUU